This 253-nucleotide ribosomal RNA is filed under the name uncultured bacterium. RNAcentral describes it as "partial 16S ribosomal RNA". It matches the Rfam family "Bacterial small subunit ribosomal RNA", at positions 524 to 776 of the family's 1533-position model. The record is from RNAcentral.
UACAGAGGGUGCAAGCGUUGUUCGGAAUUAUUGGGCGUAAAGCGCGCGCAGGUGGUGCGGUAAGUCUGCCGUGAAAUCUCCCGGCUCAACUGGGAGGGGGCGGUGGAGACUGCCGGACUGGAGGGACCUAGAGGCCGGUGGAAUUCCCGGUGGAGUGGUGAAAUGCGUAGAGAUCCGGAGGAACACCGACGGCGUAGGCAGCGCCCUAGCCGAGACCUGACGCUCAGGCACGAAAGCGCGGGGAGCGAACAGG